CCUACGGGGGGCAGCAGUAGGGAAUUUUCGGCAAUGGGGGGAACCCUGACCGAGCAACGCCGCGUGAACGAAGAAGUUAUUCGUAAUGUAAAGUUCUUUUAACAGGGAAGAAAGAGAAAUUUGACGGUACCUGAAGAAUAAGCUCCGGCUAACUACGUGCCAGCAUCCGCGGUAAUCCGUAGGGAGCGUGCGUUAUCCGGAAUUAUUGGGCGUAAAGGGUGGGUUGAUGGAAGAGUAAGUCUUUGGUAAAAAUGCUGGGCUCAACCCAGUAGGGCAACAGAGACUGGAAAGCUAGAGUAUGACAGAGGCAAGUGGAACGACAGGUGUAGCGGUAAAAUGCGUAGAUAUAUGUAAGAACACCAGUGGCGAAGGCGGCUUGCUGGGUCGAUACUGACAUUGAGGCACGAAAGCGUGGGGAGCAAACAGGAUUAGAUACCCCAGUAGUC
Molecule: ribosomal RNA, 446 nt
Filed under: uncultured bacterium
Lineage: Bacteria
Description: partial 16S ribosomal RNA
Rfam family: Bacterial small subunit ribosomal RNA
Source: RNAcentral